Ornithorhynchus anatinus (platypus) is the source of this 138-nucleotide small nucleolar RNA. The record is from RefSeq and is a predicted model, not a curated record. NCBI's taxonomy places the organism in Eukaryota, Metazoa, Chordata, Mammalia, Monotremata, Ornithorhynchidae.
ACCCUCUCAGGGUGGCACCUGGAGAGUUUCCGGUCCUCUACCAGUCUCGACUACGGGAGGGAGAGUCAAGCCGAGGCCCGUCCAGUCCAUUCCUAGCCUGGCCAGCGGCUAGCGAGUGGAAGGCCAUCGGCUACAAAU